GCCCUUGUGGUCCAGUUGGUAGGAUAGGUCACUUGUAAUGACUUGGCCUGUGUUCGAGUCACAGCGGGGGCC
RNAcentral lists this transfer RNA (72 nucleotides) under Rickettsiaceae bacterium. RNAcentral describes it as "tRNA-Thr". It matches the Rfam family "tRNA". Rfam says of the family: Transfer RNA (tRNA) molecules are approximately 80 nucleotides in length. Their secondary structure includes four short double-helical elements and three loops (D, anti-codon, and T loops). The record is from RNAcentral. Lineage: Bacteria; Pseudomonadati; Pseudomonadota; Alphaproteobacteria; Rickettsiales; Rickettsiaceae.